UUUCCGUAGGUGAACCUGCGGAAGGAUCAUUAUUGUAUAACCGAGGUGCGAGGGCUGUCGCUGACCCGAAAGGUCGUGCACGCCCGAGUGCCCUCACACACAUCCAUCUCACCCCUAUGUGCACCACCGCGUGGGUCCCCCUUUGGCUUGUUCGGAGGGGGGCUUACGUUUUUCACACAAACUUUGUAUGCAGUGUAGAAUGUAUUUUUUGUUUUUGCGAUCACGCAAUCAAUACAACUUUCAACAACGGAUCUCUUGGUUCU
This 263-nucleotide unclassified non-coding RNA is filed under the name plant metagenome. RNAcentral's name for it is "partial contains small subunit ribosomal RNA, internal transcribed spacer 1, and 5.8S ribosomal RNA". The record is from RNAcentral.